AUGGAGAGCCCCACAUCGGCGGCGUCGCGGGUGGACUUCUACGGCUUCCUCGACCGCAUGCGCCGCCCAGAGGCCGCCGGCCUCUUCCGCUCCAUCAAGAGCUUCCUCACCUCCAUCUCCCUCGACGAGCCCAGCACCGAGGCGGACGGCGCCAGGGUCCAGGCCUUCUUCACGGAGAUGGAGGCGGCCAUCCGGGGGCACCCGCUCUGGGCCGAGGCCACCCACCAGGAAAUCGACCACGCGCUCGAGGGCCUCAAGAAGUACAUCAUCACCAAGCUGUUCGACCGCACUUUCGCAGCCUCGCCGAAGGACGCGGCCGCCGACGCCGAGGUCUCGGACAAGAUCGGCCUCCUGCAGCGCUUUGUCAGGCCCCAUCACCUCGACAUACCCAAGGUCCUCAACAACGAGGCUUCCUGGCUGUAUCGGCGACAACAAGAAGGCCUGGAAGACCGGACACUGCAGGGCACUGAAGAUAAAGCUUACAGAAAGAAAAAAAGAUCUUGA
This 504-nucleotide ribosomal RNA is filed under the name Triticum aestivum (bread wheat). RNAcentral describes it as "partial small subunit ribosomal RNA". Lineage: Eukaryota; Viridiplantae; Streptophyta; Magnoliopsida; Poales; Poaceae. The record is from RNAcentral.